GACGAACGCUGGCGGCGUGCUUAACACAUGCAAGUCGAACGGAAAGGCCUGUCCUUCCUUGUGUUGGACGGGUACUCGAGUGGCGAACGGGUGAGUAACACGUGAGUGAUCUGCCCCCAACUUGGGUAUAAGCCUGGGAAACUGGGUCUAAUUCCCGAUAGGACUGCAGGGUGGUGCCUGUGGUGGAAAACGAUUUUCUAGUGGUUGGGGAUGAGCUCGCGGCCUAUCAGCUUGUUGGUGGGGUAAUGGCCUACCAAGGCGGCGACGGGUAGCCGGCCUGAGAGGGUGGACGGCCACAUUGGGACUGAGAUUCGGCCCAGACUCCUACGGGAGGCAGCAGUGGGGAAUAUUGCACAAUGGGCGGAAGCCUGAUGCAGCGACGCCGCGUGGGGGAUGACGGCCUUCGGGUUGUAAACUCCUUUCGACCGCGAGGAAGCCGCCUGGUUGGAAGGGUGGUGACGGUAGUGGUAGAAGAAGCACCGGCUAACUACGUG
RNAcentral lists this ribosomal RNA (494 nucleotides) under uncultured bacterium. RNAcentral describes it as "partial 16S ribosomal RNA". It matches the Rfam family "Bacterial small subunit ribosomal RNA", at positions 28 to 507 of the family's 1533-position model. The record is from RNAcentral.